Molecule: long non-coding RNA, 441 nt
Organism: Cydia fagiglandana
Lineage: Eukaryota; Metazoa; Arthropoda; Insecta; Lepidoptera; Tortricidae
Exons: 2
Source: RefSeq, a predicted model, not a curated record
UGCACCAAUUGUAGGUAUCUCUGUUUGGCCCUAUGGUUGACUGGUAGAGAAUGCCAUUUGGCAUUAAGUCCGCCAUUUGUACAUUCUUAUACACCGUGUUUUUUUUUAUUUCCGUUAAUUGCAAGGGUGCAUUCCUGAGCUUAAAUCAAGUAACUUUCUCAAAGACAUCGAUAUUCUAAUUAACUCCAUUUCGGAGAUAAUCAAUAAUUUAUUUUUUUCUUAUAAGGCCUCUACAAGCGUGUACACUUGCCUUAGGCCCGGUUUACAUAUUGAUUAGUGUUUAGAAUGAGUUCAUACAUUUGCUACUAAACUUAAGUACAAUCUCGGUCGAUCGAUGUUCGAAAUGACAUUGAUAUGUCACAGAUUUCAAUUGUUUGGUUGAGUUAAAUGUAAUGUCCGUGUUACAACAAUGCUAUAUGCUACAUUUAAUUACUUUUUAUA